Molecule: transfer RNA, 71 nt
Filed under: Marmota monax (woodchuck)
Lineage: Eukaryota; Metazoa; Chordata; Mammalia; Rodentia; Sciuridae
Description: tRNA.Leu
Rfam family: tRNA
About the family: Transfer RNA (tRNA) molecules are approximately 80 nucleotides in length. Their secondary structure includes four short double-helical elements and three loops (D, anti-codon, and T loops).
Source: RNAcentral
GUGGGUGUAGCUCAGAGGUAGAGUGCUUGCACAGAUGCAUGAGACCCUGAGCUCAAUCCUCAGCACUUAAA